CUUUCAAACAAUGAAGAAGAUAACUUUAUAGCAAGUAGAGAGCUGCUAAUGGAGGAUAUAGUUCAGGGAAUUGUGCCGUACCUGGGAACUUUCUUAACAGAGUUUUCAGUGCUGGAUUCAGCUUUCCCUAAUUACUAUUCAAAUGGCUGGAUCAACUUUGACAAGAGACAAAAACUCCUCUGAACUCGAGAAACCGCCAAAGCCCAAAAAGAGUGUGUUGAAG
Long non-coding RNA from Stegostoma tigrinum, 223 nucleotides. RefSeq lists it as uncharacterized. The transcript is spliced from 4 exons. The record is from RefSeq and is a predicted model, not a curated record. NCBI's taxonomy places the organism in Eukaryota, Metazoa, Chordata, Chondrichthyes, Orectolobiformes, Stegostomatidae.